AAUGGAGUGCCUGAAAAAAGGAUUAUUUUGAUAGAAUAAAUUAUGUAAAACUUUUACCUUCAUUA
Molecule: transfer RNA, 65 nt
Filed under: Scarites buparius
Lineage: Eukaryota; Metazoa; Arthropoda; Insecta; Coleoptera; Carabidae
Description: tRNA-Ile
Source: RNAcentral